AGAAUAAAAAAUUUGCUCUCAGUCACGUGUUAGGAACGUGAUGGUUUGGUUUGGUGUGCCCAUCAGGUGACAUCAUGAAAACAAAGAUGUGGAACAACUUCAUGUAUACUAUCGGAUUUGAAUUGAAGAUCCGCGCAUUGUAUUUAAGUAACCUAUACCCGUAUUUUUAUGUUGGAUUCGGGUUGGAUGUGCCGUCGUCCUCUCCCUCCGCUUCCGCCGCCAUCGGCUCCCUCUCCAUUGCCACUGCAGUCAUCUUCUCCCUGCGCAAGCUUCUCGAGCAAUCCAUCACCACCGGCCGCAGCAUACCUUCGACGUCCUCGUCGCAGCCUAGCAGGAGCUCGAGCCCUUCGAUUCCCUCGUGGUGAGAAUACGCCGACGUCCGGUGGCUGGUCCAUUUUUAAGGGUUACGGCUUUGGGUUCGGUUUGCUAACGAAGUGUUCGACUCGAUUGAGCAAUUGAACCGGACGGGAAACCGGUGCCCCCCCUGUACAUACAAGAGAGAGAGAGAGAGAGACAGAGAGCCUAAAAACAAUCCCUAGCUUGGAGUAGCCGGCCCGAACUCCCGUUCCCUUCCUCUAUCUUCUUCGCCUCUCCAUCUUCCUCAUCCGCCGUCUCCCUUCCGUAUCGAUGGCGAUUGCAGGCGCCGACGAAACGGGUCGCAGCAGGGCGUACCGCCUAGUGGCGGCGAAGGGCGAGGACUAGUGGCACUGUGAGACAAGAUCCCUACUCCCUCUUGUGAUCGAGAAACAUAGGCGUAUUUUGGACAUCUGAUGAUGCCAACAGACAUUCAAGGUUAGGGCUGUUAGGGGAAGCUCCAUCCUUUCAAGCUAACAGUGGACUAAAAGAUUGGAACACAACUGAAUCAAGUUUGAUCAAAUCAGUCUAGUGGCUUCAUAUUUGGCCUUCGAAUCUUCUUUUCUGGUGGAGUUCGAACAUCAAUUUUUUAUUCUCAUUGAUCCAAAACAAUGAGAAAACUUUUAUCUACUUGGCACUACAUUCGAGCACCGAUGUAAUGGGCCACUUUUGGACGACCUCCUAACCCUCAUUUUGCAAUUUGAGACAUCUAAGUGGUGAAGAUGCAAGAUUCACGGAUGACUCCACCAGAAGACGCGAUCAACGUUAAACCACAAAAGAAGAAACCAUCGAAAUGGAUGUCUACUGCAGUUCAGAUCAAAGAAGAGUGUUGGGGGAAAAGAAGCUUCCCAUCUGUCCAACAAGCCACAAAAUGGAUCCAAGAGAGGCCUGUAAAGAUCCAGUGACUACUACAGGGCACUAGGGCGCAAAUACUUAUUGCUGGAGGAAGAAAGCUUGAUGCAGAGGUAAGAACUCUGGAAGAUGAGAAGUUUGCUCUGUUGGAUCAGCUCGUUGUCUUGGAAGGUCUUCUUGAUCCUUCACGUAGGGGGUUUGUGAAGAGAACACCACCCGACAGAGAGAUUUGUAUGUUAUUAAAAGCCCAAGCUACGAUCUGAAUUGAUGUAUCAGUGGUAUCUUCUGAUUAAGAUGUAUAAAAUAUUACAAAUGAGAGAGAAUUCAAAAUAUAGUUUAGAAGGAA
Molecule: long non-coding RNA, 1552 nt
Organism: Musa acuminata AAA Group (dessert banana)
Lineage: Eukaryota; Viridiplantae; Streptophyta; Magnoliopsida; Zingiberales; Musaceae
Exons: 5
Source: RefSeq, a predicted model, not a curated record